AUAUUGAAUUAUUCAUUUAAAUAAAGUAUAUAUGAGAUUUUAUUAAUAAUCAUUAAUUAUUAUUAUAUAUGUCAAAGAACCACAAUUUUACUGAUAAAAUUGUUUAUUGUAAUAAUUUGGUAUUCGUAGUUGUUAGGUAUUUAUUUCCCAUGCCAUAGAUUAUUAUAACACUAGUGUUUGUGGUAAGAAUUUCACUUUAGUUUGUUUCAUUUAAUAUCAGUUGAGAUAAAUAGCUGGCAUAGGACGGCUUAUAUAUUUAAAAUAUUAAUUUAAUUUGUUAUUUUUAAAAACUUUCUUUGUAUAAUCCCUUUCCUAUCUUUAUAAUAACAAAAGUAUAUUAUAAAAUACAAUAAAAUUUAUACUAAAAAUAUUAUUUGUUCUUUGUUAAGAGGAUACCAUGUUGUCUUCAUUUUACGACAUAAAACAUAACAAAUUUUGCAAUCAAAGGAAUCAAUUUUAUGGUAUUAACUUUAAUAUUAGUGUCAAUUUAUGUAAUAUUAAACUUAAAUGUAACAAUAUUAUUUAGAGCAUUUCAUAAGCUUUUAUUAAUAUUUUAAUUUUUAAUACCAAAAUUUGUAUACCAUAAGACCAUAGAUUGGUUAUGAAUAGUUAGAUUGUCUUAUAAAUGUAUAAAAGUUUUGUUUUUUAAGUACUAUGUAUGAUUAGUAAAAGCAAUAAUUCAAAAUUAAUUUUUGAGCGUGUAUGCAAAUAAUAUGUAAGUUCAAAUAAUUCAAGUCAGCAACAAGCCAAAUCAAUAUUGUCAUUUGUUUUAAGGCAACUACCUAUAUUAUUUAUAAUAUACAAUAAAUAUUCCAUAAUUAUUU
Aphis gossypii (cotton aphid) is the source of this 824-nucleotide long non-coding RNA. RefSeq lists it as uncharacterized. The transcript has 2 exons. NCBI's taxonomy places the organism in Eukaryota, Metazoa, Arthropoda, Insecta, Hemiptera, Aphididae. The record is from RefSeq and is a predicted model, not a curated record.